This 385-nucleotide ribosomal RNA is filed under the name uncultured bacterium. RNAcentral's name for it is "bacterial SSU rRNA". It matches the Rfam family "Bacterial small subunit ribosomal RNA", at positions 30 to 407 of the family's 1533-position model. The record is from RNAcentral.
AUUGAACGCUGGCGGCAUGCCUAACACAUGCAAGUCGAACGGUAACAGUCUCUAGCUUGCUAGAGAGCUGACGAGUGGCGGACGGGUGAGUAACGCGUAGGGAUCUGCCUUGGAGAGUGGGACAACUCGGGGAAACUCGGGCUAAUACCGCAUACGUUCUACGGAAGAAAAGGGGGCCUCUAUUUAUAAGCUCUCGCUCUAAGAUGAACCUGCGUCCGAUUAGCUAGUUGGUAAGGUAAAAGCUUACCAAGGCGACGAUCGGUAGCUGUUCUGAGAGGAAGAUCAGCCACACUGGGACUGAGACACGGCCCAGACUCCUACGGGAGGCAGCAGUGGGGAAUAUUGACAAUGGGGGCAACCCUGAUCCAGCAAUGCCGCGUGUGUG